ACGCCUUAUACAUGCAAGUCGAACGCAGUAGCAAUACUGAGUGGCAAACGGGUGAGUAUAAUGUGGGUAUCUGCCUUUUGGUUUGGAAUAACACGAGGAAACUUGUGCUAAUACCGAAUAAGCCUUCACAGGGAAAGUUUUAACGCCGAAAGAUGAGCCCGCACUUGAUUAGUUUGUUGGUGAGGUAAUGGCUCACCAAGACAAUUAUCAAUAGCUGGUCUGAGAGGACGAUCAGCCACAUUGGGACUGAGACACGGCCCAGACUCCUACGGGAGGCAGCAGUAAGGAAUCUUGCACAAUGGGGGAAACCCUGAUGCAGCGAUGCCGCGUGAGUGAAGAAGGCCCUUGGGUUGUAAAACUCUUUCGUCGGGGAAGAAAAUGACUGUACCCGAAUAAGAAGGUCCGGCUAACUUCGUGCCAGCAGCCGCGGUAAUACGAAGGGACCUAGCGUAGUUCGGAAUUACUGGGCUUAAAGAGCUCGUAGGUGGUUAAAAUAGUUGAUGGUGAAAUCCCAAGGCUCAACCUUGGAACUGCCAUCAAAACUUUUUAGCUAGAGUGUGAUAGAGGAAAGUGGAAUUUCUAGUGUAGAGGUGAAAUUCGUAGAUAUUAGAAAGAACACCAAAUGCGAAGGCAACUUUCUGGGUCACUACUGACACUGAGGAGCGAAAGCAUGGGUAGCGAAGAGGAUUAGAUACCCUCGUAGUCCAUGCCGUAAACGAUGUGUGCUAGACGUUGGAAAUAUAUUUUUCAGUGUCGCAGCGAAAGCAUUAAGCACACCGCCUGGGGAGUACGACCG
Molecule: ribosomal RNA, 796 nt
Filed under: uncultured Pelagibacteraceae bacterium
Lineage: Bacteria; Pseudomonadati; Pseudomonadota; Alphaproteobacteria; Candidatus Pelagibacterales; Candidatus Pelagibacteraceae
Description: bacterial SSU rRNA
Rfam family: Bacterial small subunit ribosomal RNA
Source: RNAcentral